This 253-nucleotide ribosomal RNA is filed under the name uncultured bacterium. RNAcentral describes it as "partial 16S ribosomal RNA". It matches the Rfam family "Bacterial small subunit ribosomal RNA", at positions 524 to 776 of the family's 1533-position model. The record is from RNAcentral.
UACAGAGGGGGCGAGCGUUGUUCGGAAUUACUGGGCGUAAAGGGCGCGUAGGCGGCCAACUAAGUCAGACGUGAAAUCCCCUGGCUCAACCAGGGAACUGCGUCUGAUACUGGAUGGCUUGAAUCCGGGAGAGGGAUGUGGAAUUCCAGGUGUAGCGGUGAAAUGCGUAGAUAUCAAGAGGAACACCUGAGGUGAAGACGGGUUGCUGGGCCGACACUGACGCUGAAGCGCGAAAGCCAGGGGAGCAAACGGG